This is a long non-coding RNA of Bactrocera dorsalis (oriental fruit fly), 598 nucleotides long. RefSeq lists it as uncharacterized. The transcript is spliced from 2 exons. NCBI's taxonomy places the organism in Eukaryota, Metazoa, Arthropoda, Insecta, Diptera, Tephritidae. The record is from RefSeq and is a predicted model, not a curated record.
UUGUAUAUAAAAUAAAAUUGGAUUGCCAUUGGAAAUAAAAAAGUUGCAAACUGUAUAUCCAUAAGAAUUUAUCACUUUGAAGCACGACUAAAAAAAGGGUGUCACGAAGCAAUUUUAUCAAACAUGAAAAACGUGUGCAAGUAAAAUUGGAAUAGGUUUCCAAAAGUCAAUAUAGACGUAUAAAUAUCGGAUUUUAUAGUUUUAAAUGCACAGUUUUAUUUUUACACUUCUAUCUCCAAUAAGAAUGGCCACACUGAAGAAAAUUUUCAUAAUUUGUGUCGCGUUGCCUCUUUUAAUAGCGGCAUUUAGCAUGUUGUUGCCGGGGGCUGAAGCUCGAGAAGUGGCUCUAGUGAAGCGUUCACAGCUUUCCCAACCAACCGUAGAGCUUGUAGUUCGACUGGUACCGGUAUUGCGAACACUUUUGGGGAUCUUAUCUCCAAUAGUGGGUUAAAUAAAAACGUACAGGACCAAGAUUUCCGAAUUAAAAAGCUCCACUUAAUAAUUUCUGAAAAAUUAAUCGAUUUAAAUUUGUAUAAUUACCUAAUUGAAACAAAAUAAGCUCCUUGCAAUAAAAAGUGAAAUUCAUUGAGAAACCUAA